UGGAUCCAGACUUUGAUUCUGGCUCAGGACGAACGCUGGCGGCGCGCCUAACACAUGCAAGUCGAACGGAGGUCUUGGGAGGAAGUUUUCGGAUGGAAUCCCAGGAACUUAGUGGCGAACGGGUGAGUAACACGCGAGGAACCUGCCUUUCAGAGGGGGAUAACACUUAGAAAUAGGUGCUAAUACCGCAUAAGACCACGGUGUCGCAUGGCACAGCGGUCAAAGGAGCAAUCCGCUGAGAGAUGGACUCGCGUCUGAUUAGCUAGUAGGCGGGGUAACGGCCCACCUAGGCGACGAUCAGUAGCCGAGCUGAGAGGCUGAUCGGCCACAUUGGGACUGAGACACGGCCCAGACUCCUACGGGAGGCAGCAGUGGGGAAUAUUGCACAAUGGAGGAAACUCUGAUGCAGCGACGCCGCGUGAGGGAAGAAGGUUUCCGGAUUGUAAACCUCUGUCUUCGGGGACGAUAAUGACGGUACCCGAGGAGGAAGCCACGGCUAACUACGUGCCAGCAGCCGCGGUAAUACGUAGGUGGCAAGCGUUGUCCGGAAUUACUGGGUGUAAAGGGAGCGCAGGUGGGAUGGAAAGUUGGAUGUUUAAUCUACGGGCUCAACUCGUAUCAGCAUUCAAAACUAUCAUUCUUGAGUGGAGUAGAGGCAGGCGGAAUUCCAGGUGUAGCGGUGGAAUGCGUAGAUAUCUGGAGGGACACCAGUGGCGAAGGCGGCCUGCUGGGCUCUAACUGACACUGAGGCUCGAAAGCGUGGGUAGCAAACAGGAUUAGAUACCCUGGUAGUCCACGCCGUAAACGAUGAUUACUAGGUGUGGGGGGACUGACCCCCUCCGUGCCGCAGUUAACACAAUAAGUAAUCCACCUGGGGAGUACGACCGCAAGGUUGCAACUCAAAUGAAUUGACGGA
Molecule: ribosomal RNA, 916 nt
Filed under: uncultured Bacillota bacterium
Lineage: Bacteria; Bacillati; Bacillota
Description: bacterial SSU rRNA
Rfam family: Bacterial small subunit ribosomal RNA
Source: RNAcentral